RNAcentral lists this ribosomal RNA (407 nucleotides) under uncultured bacterium. RNAcentral describes it as "partial 16S ribosomal RNA". It matches the Rfam family "Bacterial small subunit ribosomal RNA", at positions 30 to 526 of the family's 1533-position model. The record is from RNAcentral.
AUUGAACGCUAGCGGGAUGCCUUACACAUGCAAGUCGAACGGAGUGGCGAACGGGUGAGUAAUGUAUCGGAACGUGCCCAGUAGCGGGGGAUAAAUACGCGAAAGCGUAGCUAAUACCGCAUACUAUUGGAGCGGCCGAUAGCGGAUUAGCUAGUUGGUGGGGUAACGGCUCACCAAGGCGACGAUCCGUAGCUGGUUUGAGAGGACGACCAGCCAGACUUGGACAGAGACACGGCCCAGACUCCUACGGUCGGCAGCAGGAGGGAAUUAUGGACAAUGGGGGAAACCCUGAUCCAGCCAUCCCGUGUGAUCGAUGAAGGCCUUCGGGUUUUAUAGCACGUUUGGCAGGAAAGCGGUACCUGCAGAAUAAGCAACGGCUAACUACGUGCCAGCAGCCGCGGUAAUUC